Molecule: long non-coding RNA, 176 nt
Organism: Neogale vison (American mink)
Lineage: Eukaryota; Metazoa; Chordata; Mammalia; Carnivora; Mustelidae
Exons: 3
Source: RefSeq, a predicted model, not a curated record
UCUUGAGCACAAGGAUGCAUGAGGCGCUGUGUCCAGGGCUGCCCGUGGACUGUCUCACCUGAUCUUGCCCGCAAGUCUAGGAAGUAGGUCAUCAACACCCUGUUUCACAGGAACUGCGCUCAGACUCCUAACCGCAAAGCUGACUCAACAGCCAACCAGGGUCAAGAAUGGAAGGC